UGGGGAAUAUUGGACAAUGGGGGAAACCCUGAUCCAGCGACGCCGCGUGAGUGAAGAAGUAUUUCGGUAUGUAAAGCUCUAUCAGCAGGGAAGAAAAUGACGGUACCUGACUAAGAAGCCCCGGCUAACUACGUGCCAGCAGCCGCGGUAAUACGUAGGGGGCAAGCGUUAUCCGGAUUUACUGGGUGUAAAGGGAGCGCAGACGGCGAAGCAAGUCUGAAGUGAAAUGCAUGGGCUCAACCCAUGAAUUGCUUUGGAAACUGUUUGGCUUGAGUGUCGGAGGGGUAAGCGGAAUUCCUAGUGUAGCGGUGAAAUGCGUAGAUAUUAGGAGGAACACCGGAGGCGAAGGCGGCUUACUGGACGACAACUGACGUUGAGGCUCGAAGGCGUGGGGAGCAAACAGGAUUAGAUACCCUGGUAGUCCACGCAGUAAACGAUGAAUACUUGGUGUCGGGGAGGUAAACUUUUCGGUGCCGCAAGCAAACGCAUUAAGUAUUCCACCUGGGGAGUACGUUCGCAAGAAUG
This 525-nucleotide ribosomal RNA is filed under the name uncultured bacterium. Its description in RNAcentral is "bacterial SSU rRNA". It matches the Rfam family "Bacterial small subunit ribosomal RNA", at positions 355 to 896 of the family's 1533-position model. The record is from RNAcentral.